GGCUACUAUGUUGGACAGCUGAGGCUAAAGCUUAUCUGGCAGCUGAGAACCCUUGCUGAGCAGGCACUAUGGUAUCAGCCACAAGAAGGAAAGCUGGGAGCCCCUCUGAGUGCAACCAUUUUUUGUUGCAGAUGCCUUGAAGAAUCUGGACAGCAGAAUGCUCAGGCAUCAGAUGGUUCCCUCCACAUGAAUGUACCUGAGCAGCCAUGACAACUUCUGUAAUGUCACCAAAGGAGCGGAAGGAACUCAGAAAGUCCUGCCAGAACUCUUUGCUCUCCCUCCCUCCACUGCUUUGCUUUGUGUCAGUUCCUGUGAGAUUCUCAUUUGCAGUGAAGCAAGAGGGAAGAGUGCUGGCACUGUAGAGAUAUGGUGGCAAAAGCCUCG
RNAcentral lists this long non-coding RNA (384 nucleotides) under Heterocephalus glaber (naked mole-rat). RNAcentral's name for it is "lncRNA (ENSHGLG00100052589.1)". Lineage: Eukaryota; Metazoa; Chordata; Mammalia; Rodentia; Bathyergidae. The record is from RNAcentral.